RNAcentral lists this transfer RNA (74 nucleotides) under Candidatus Obscuribacterales bacterium. RNAcentral describes it as "tRNA-Gln". It matches the Rfam family "tRNA". Rfam says of the family: Transfer RNA (tRNA) molecules are approximately 80 nucleotides in length. Their secondary structure includes four short double-helical elements and three loops (D, anti-codon, and T loops). The record is from RNAcentral. Lineage: Bacteria; Bacillati; Candidatus Melainabacteria; Candidatus Obscuribacterales.
UCCGAGGUCGUCUAAUGGCAGGACACGACACUUUGAAUGUCGGUACGGUGGUUCGACCCCAUCCCUCGGAACCA